RNAcentral lists this ribosomal RNA (303 nucleotides) under uncultured bacterium. Its description in RNAcentral is "partial 16S ribosomal RNA". It matches the Rfam family "Bacterial small subunit ribosomal RNA", at positions 507 to 807 of the family's 1533-position model. The record is from RNAcentral.
AGCAGUAGCCGCGGUAAUACGUAGGGUGCGAGCGUUAAUCGGAAUUACUGGGCGUAAAGCGUGCGCAGGCGGUUUUGUAAGACAGGCGUGAAAUCCCCGGGCUCAACCUGGGAAUGGCGCUUGUGACUGCAAAGCUAGAGUGCGGCAGAGGGGGAUGGAAUUCCGCGUGUAGCAGUGAAAUGCGUAGAUAUGCGGAGGAACACCGAUGGCGAAGGCGAUCCCCUGGGCCUGCACUGACGCUCAUGCACGAAAGCGUGGGGAGCAAACAGGAUUAGAUACCCGAGUAGUCCCUGUCUCUUAUAC